This 122-nucleotide ribosomal RNA is filed under the name Acyrthosiphon pisum (pea aphid). Lineage: Eukaryota; Metazoa; Arthropoda; Insecta; Hemiptera; Aphididae. The record is from RNAcentral.
GCCAACGACCAUACCACGUUGAAUACACCAGUUCUCGUCCGAUCACUGAAGUUAAGCAACGUCGGGCGUAGUUAGUACUUGGAUGGGUGACCGCUUGGGAACACUACGUGCCGUUGGCAGCA